Transfer RNA from Camelus ferus (Wild Bactrian camel), 73 nucleotides. It matches the Rfam family "tRNA". From Rfam's summary of the family: Transfer RNA (tRNA) molecules are approximately 80 nucleotides in length. Their secondary structure includes four short double-helical elements and three loops (D, anti-codon, and T loops). Further hydrogen bonds mediate the characteristic L-shaped molecular structure. tRNAs have two regions of fundamental functional importance: the anti-codon, which is responsible for specific mRNA codon recognition, and the 3' end, to which the tRNAs corresponding amino acid is attached (by aminoacyl-tRNA synthetases). tRNAs cope with the degeneracy of the genetic code in two manners: having more than one tRNA (with a specific anti-codon) for a particular amino acid; and 'wobble' base-pairing, i.e. permitting non-standard base-pairing at the 3rd anti-codon position. The record is from Rfam. Lineage: Eukaryota; Metazoa; Chordata; Mammalia; Artiodactyla; Camelidae.
GAGGGUAUAGCUCAAGUGGUAAAGAGCAUGCUUAGCAUGCACAAGGUCCUGGGUUCAAACCCCAGUACCUCCU